UGGGGAUUCCCGCGGCCUUGGCCGCUACCCGGCCUGCCCCGCGGCAAGAUGGCGGCGUGAAGGUGGCGGGCAGCGGCAGAAACUGAAGACUCAGGGGCCCCAGGGACUGGAAGAAAUCACAGUGCCCGCUUGGAAAGAAGAAGAGGUAGCGACUUGCCCCAGCUCAACCCCAGAGCGGCUCCGGAGUUGGGCUGCUCUCAACCAAGCUGUCUGUUUAUAUGGAGUGCCUGGAGGGCGUCUGCCAUGAGUCUGUCGCUAACCGUGCUAACCAGGAGAGCUGGCUGGUUGGGGAGAAGACACUAACCCUGAGCUGUUGGCUAGAGGAAGUGGAGGGGCCGUGGGAUGCAGAGAGCCGAGGGCUAACUCUGGGACAGCGGAACAGAGAGAGCUGCCGACGAUCAGACGCAGGUUG
RNAcentral lists this long non-coding RNA (412 nucleotides) under Felis catus (domestic cat). RNAcentral's name for it is "tight junction associated protein 1 (ENSFCAG00000009728.6)". Lineage: Eukaryota; Metazoa; Chordata; Mammalia; Carnivora; Felidae. The record is from RNAcentral.